UUGACUCGGUUCGGUUCGGUUUUUUGGUUUGAACCAAAUUCUGCUCGGCCCUAGGGUUGGCUAUUGGCAAUGAGAAAUGGGGAAGAGAUGAAAUUGCUAGAUCCCUUUUCAGGACUUCAAAUUGAGCUGCCAUGUGAAUGAAUUGAGAGGAGAUGAAGAGAAUGACAUUGGCUAUAGGAGUAAACAACAAGAAGCCAAUGUAUUCGUAUGAAGUGUAAAGCCCCACUUCAGAGGUGAACCUUACAAUCGUGUUGCGCCACUUCUUUGGGUCGAAGUUAAUUCAUUGGAUGUGAUAUGCUGAUCGUUUUUUAUUUACAGUUCGUAGGUUGCUUUUGCAUUUUAUUUACAGUUCUGAUCGUUUUUUAUUUCAUUUAAUUAUCGUGUAUGUAGCUUGGUUAUCUAGUAGGAUCAGUAGUUUUACAGGC
Molecule: unclassified non-coding RNA, 425 nt
Filed under: Hevea brasiliensis (rubber tree)
Lineage: Eukaryota; Viridiplantae; Streptophyta; Magnoliopsida; Malpighiales; Euphorbiaceae
Source: RNAcentral